RNAcentral lists this transfer RNA (73 nucleotides) under Capra hircus (goat). It matches the Rfam family "tRNA". From Rfam's summary of the family: Transfer RNA (tRNA) molecules are approximately 80 nucleotides in length. Their secondary structure includes four short double-helical elements and three loops (D, anti-codon, and T loops). RNAcentral also lists the same sequence under 1 other name. The record is from Rfam by way of RNAcentral. Lineage: Eukaryota; Metazoa; Chordata; Mammalia; Artiodactyla; Bovidae.
UCCCUGGUAGCUCAGAUGGUAAAAGCGUCUGCCUACAAUGUGGGAGACCUGGGUUCAAUCCCUAGGUCGGGAA